Molecule: ribosomal RNA, 253 nt
Filed under: uncultured bacterium
Lineage: Bacteria
Description: partial 16S ribosomal RNA
Rfam family: Bacterial small subunit ribosomal RNA
Source: RNAcentral
GACGGAGGGGGCUAGCGUUGUUCGGAAUGACUGGGCGUAAAGGGCGCGUAGGCGGUUUUUUAAGUGAGGCGUGAAAGCCCUGGGCUUAACCCAGGAGGUGCGUUUCAUACUGGAAGACUUGAGUGCGAGAGAGGAAAGUGGAAUUCCUAGUGUAGAGGUGAAAUUCGUAGAUAUUAGGAAGAACACCGGUGGCGAAGGCGCUUUCUGGCUCGCAACGUGACGCUGAGGCGCGAAAGCGUGGGGAGCAAACAGG